This 398-nucleotide long non-coding RNA is filed under the name Spirodela polyrhiza (greater duckweed). RNAcentral describes it as "long non-coding RNA (SPOL_LNC001163)". Lineage: Eukaryota; Viridiplantae; Streptophyta; Magnoliopsida; Alismatales; Araceae. The record is from RNAcentral.
GGAGACGUGGGUGGCGUCCAUGGGGAAGAGCCGGGAGAGCCCAAAGUCGGCGACUUUGACGUGGAAGUUGGCGUCAAGGAGGAUGUUGUUGGUCUUGACGUCGCGGUGUAUGAUCUGGGGCUCGACGGCGUGGAGGUAGGCGAGGGCGGUGGCGGUCUCGAGGGCUAUGCGGAGGCGGAGGGGCCAGGAGAGGACGCCGAGGUGGGCGAGAUGGCCGUGGAGGUGGUCGGCGACGGUGCCGUUCGGGACGAACUCGUAGACAAGGAGGAGCUCGCGGCUGUGCCGGGAGGUGCAGCCGUAGAGGCUCACCAGGUUGUUGUGGCGGAGCCGGUUGAGGAUCUCCACCUCGUUCAUGAACUGCUCCACGCGCUUGAAGUUGUUUUCGUACAGCCGCUUCA